This 550-nucleotide ribosomal RNA is filed under the name uncultured bacterium. RNAcentral describes it as "bacterial SSU rRNA". It matches the Rfam family "Bacterial small subunit ribosomal RNA", at positions 8 to 524 of the family's 1533-position model. The record is from RNAcentral.
AGAGUUUGAUCCUGGCUCAGGACGAACGCUGGCGGCGUGCCUAAUACAUGCAAGUCGAGCGGAGUCUUUCGGACAGAAGCCUUCGGGCGGACGACUGAAAGACUUAGCGGCGGACGGGUGAGUAACACGUGGGCAACCUGCCCGUAAGUCGGGGAUAACCAGUGGAAACAUUGGCUAAUACCGGAUGUGGUCUUCUUGCUGCAUGGCGAGGAGAAGAAAGAGGGAGCAAUCUCUCGCUUACGGAUGGGCCCGCGGCGCAUUAGCUGGUUGGUGAGGUAACGGCUCACCAAGGCGACGAUGCGUAGCCGACCUGAGAGGGUGAUCGGCCACACUGGGACUGAGACACGGCCCAGACUCCUACGGGAGGCAGCAGUAGGGAAUCUUCCGCAAUGGACGAAAGUCUGACGGAGCAACGCCGCGUGAGCGAAGAAGGUCUUCGGAUCGUAAAGCUCUGUUGUUAGGGAAGAACAAGUACCGGAGUAACUGUCGGUACCUUGACGGUACCUAACCAGAAAGCCACGGCUAACUACGUGCCAGCAGCCGCGGUAAU